GUACACGCUGUGACUAGCAUAUCAAUAAGCGGAGGAAAAGAAACUAACAAGGAUUCCCCUAGUAACGGCGAGUGAAGGCGGGAAGAGCUCAAAUUUGAAAUCUUAAAGGGUUUCCCUUUACGAAUUGUAGUUUAAAGAAGUGUUUUUCUGUUGAGGUUUUGGUAAAAGUUCUUUGGAAUAGGACAUCAUAGAGGGUGAGAAUCCCGUAUUUGACCUUUACUUUCAACUUUGUGAUACACUUUCAAAGAGUCGGAUUGUUUGGGAAUGCAGUCCUAAAAUGGGUGGUAAAUUUCAUCUAAAGCUAAAUAUUGGCGAGAGACCGAUAGCGAACAAGUACCGUGAGGGAAAGAUGAAAAGAACUUUGAAAAGAGAGUUAAACAGUACGUGAAAUUGUCAAAAGGGAAGCGUUUGACACCAGUGUUGUUUUUUCUGAAAAUCAAUUAAAGAACUGUUUAUGCUAAGUUGUUUAGACUUUAUCAGCUAAUCUGUUUAGUUUUGAGCUUUUCUUUAAUGCACUUUUCAGUUAACAAGUCAACAUCAAUUUCUUUUGCUGUAAAAAAAGCUUGAGGAAGGUGGCUUGAGAUUCGUCUUAAGUGGUUUAUAGCCUCUUGCCUAUGCAGGUCGGAGAGAUUGAGGUCUGCAGCGUAGAUCCCUUCGGGGCUAAAUGCAUUUGUGCUAAGUUAUAGCAUUUUAUAGACAACUUGUUGACUAUGAUUUGUCUUGUAGCUUACUCGCUUAUGUUAUUUUACCUACGCUUAGGAUGUUGAAGAUGUAGCACAUCAU
Molecule: ribosomal RNA, 783 nt
Filed under: uncultured Neocallimastigales
Lineage: Eukaryota; Fungi; Neocallimastigomycota; Neocallimastigomycetes; Neocallimastigales
Description: partial large subunit ribosomal RNA
Rfam family: Eukaryotic large subunit ribosomal RNA
Source: RNAcentral